UGACUGCGUACCUUUUGUAUAAUGGGUCAGCGACUUAUAUUCUGUAGCAAGGUUAACCGAAUAGGGGAGCCGGAGGGAAACCGAGUCUUAAUUGGGCGUUAAGUUGCAGGGUAUAGACCCGAAACCCGGUGAUCUAGCCAUGGGCAGGUUGAAGGUUGGGUAACACUAACUGGAGGACCGAACCGACUAAUGUUGAAAAAUUAGCGGAUGACCUGUGGCUGGGGGUGAAAGGCCAAUCAAACCGGGAGAUAGCUGGUUCUCCCCGAAAGCUAUUUAGGUAGCGCCUCGUGAAUUCAUCUCCGGGGGUAGAGCACUGUUUCGGCUAGGGGGCCAUCCCGGCUUACCAACCCGAUGCAAACUGCGAAUACCGGAGAAUGUUAUCACGGGAGACACACGGCGGGUGCUAACGUCCGUCGUGAAGAGGGAAACAACCCAGACCGCCAGCUAAGGUCCCAAAGUCAUGGUUAAGUGGGAAACGAUGUGGGAAGGCCCAGACAGCCAGGAUGUUGGCUUAGAAGCAGCCAUCAUUUAAAGAAAGCGUAAUAGCUCACUGGUCGAGUCGGCCUGCGCGGAAGAUGUAACGGGGCUAAACCAUGCACCGAAGCUGCGGCAGCGACGCUGAUGCGUUGUUGGGUAGGGGAGCGUUCUGUAAGCCUGCGAAGGUGGCCUGUGAGGGUUGCUGGAGGUAUCAGAAGUGCGAAUGCUGACAUAAGUAACGAUAAAGCGGGUGAAAAGCCCGCUCGCCGGAAGACCAAGGGUUCCUGUCCAACGUUAAUCGGGGCAGGGUGAGUCGACCCCUAAGGCGAGGCCGAAAGGCGUAGUCGAUGGGAAACGGGUUAAUAUUCCCGUACUUGGUGUUACUGCGAAGGGGGGACGGAGAAGGCUAUGUUGGCCGGGCGACGGUUGUCCCGGUUUAAGCGUGUAGGUGUGUGUUCCAGGUAAAUCCGGUUCACUUUAACACUGAGGCGUGAUGACGAGGCACUACGGUGCUGAAGCAACAAAUGCCCUGCUUCCAGGAAAAGCCUCUAAGCAUCAGGUAACAUCAAAUCGUACCCCAAACCGACACAGGUGGUCAGGUAGAGAAUACCAAGGCGCUUGAGAGAACUCGGGUGAAGGAACUAGGCAAAAUGGUGCCGUAACUUCGGGAGAAGGCACGCUGACACGUAGGUGAAGUGAUUUACUCAUGGAGCUGAAGUCAGUCGAAGAUACCAGCUGGCUGCAACUGUUUAUUAAAAACACAGCACUGUGCAAACACGAAAGUGGACGUAUACGGUGUGACGCCUGCCCGGUGCCGGAAGGUUAAUUGAUGGGGUCAGCGCAAGCGAAGCUCCUGAUCGAAGCCCCGGUAAACGGCGGCCGUAACUAUAACGGUCCUAAGGUAGCGAAAUUCCUUGUCGGGUAAGUUCCGACCUGCACGAAUGGCGUAAUGAUGGCCAGGCUGUCUCCACCCGAGACUCAGUGAAAUUGAACUCGCUGUGAAGAUGCAGUGUACCCGCGGCAAGACGGAAAGACCCCGUGAACCUUUACUAUAGCUUGACACUGAACAUUGAGCCUUGAUGUGUAGGAUAGGUGGGAGGCUUUGAAGUGUGGACGCCAGUCUGCAUGGAGCCGGCCUUGAAAUACCACCCUUUAAUGUUUGAUGUUCUAACGUGGACCCGUGAUCCGGGUUGCGGACAGUGUCUGGUGGGUAGUUUGACUGGGGCGGUCUCCUCCUAAAGAGUAACGGAGGAGCACGAAGGUUGGCUAAUCCUGGUCGGACAUCAGGAGGUUAGUGCAAUGGCAUAAGCCAGCUUGACUGCGAGCGUGACGGCGCGAGCAGGUGCGAAAGCAGGUCAUAGUGAUCCGGUGGUUCUGAAUGGAAGGGCCAUCGCUCAACGGAUAAAAGGUACUCCGGGGAUAACAGGCUGAUACCGCCCAAGAGUUCAUAUCGACGGCGGUGUUUGGCACCUCGAUGUCGGCUCAUCACAUCCUGGGGCUGAAGUAGGUCCCAAGGGUAUGGCUGUUCGCCAUUUAAAGUGGUACGCGAGCUGGGUUUAGAACGUCGUGAGACAGUUCGGUCCCUAUCUGCCGUGGGCGCUGGAGAACUGAGGGGGGCUGCUCCUAGUACGAGAGGACCGGAGUGGACGCAUCACUGGUGUUCGGGUUGUCAUGCCAAUGGCACUGCCCGGUAGCUAAAUGCGGAAGAGAUAAGUGCUGAAAGCAUCUAAGCACGAAACUUGCCCCGAGAUGAGUUCU
RNAcentral lists this ribosomal RNA (2235 nucleotides) under Salmonella enterica. RNAcentral's name for it is "bacterial LSU rRNA". It matches the Rfam family "Bacterial large subunit ribosomal RNA", at positions 594 to 2812 of the family's 2925-position model. The record is from RNAcentral. RNAcentral also lists the same sequence under 3 other names. Lineage: Bacteria; Pseudomonadati; Pseudomonadota; Gammaproteobacteria; Enterobacterales; Enterobacteriaceae.